AAAUUACCAGAGAACUGCCACUCUCCUUCGCUCGAUCCCCCACCUCCCCACUCGCGCUCGCGAUAGGGUUACAGGGCCGCCGCCGCCGCGCCGCCCGACAGCCCGCCCCUCCCGCUCGCUUCGAGGCCCGCAGCCGUUGCUCCGCCCCGGCCACUCCUUCGGCCCGCCUGCUCGCCUCGAGGCCCUCAGCCGCUGCCCCGCCCCGACGCCGCCUCGCCGGAGUUUGCUCGGGCCGUCGCCUAGGCUGAGCUCUCAUCUCCUCUCCGUCUUCUCUGUUCUGUUCUGUUCUGGUUAAUACAGAUAAUAUUAUCUUGUACCAUGGCUAGUGCGGAGGAUGUGAAGCAGCGGCAGGUUGUUGAAGACCGUGCAAGAAAUAUUAGCCACAAUGUACGGUGCACUGAGUGUGGCAGCCAGUCCAUUGAAGAUUCGCAAGCAGAUGUUGCAGUUCUCCUUAGAAGGUUAAUUCGUGAUGAAAUAAAAUCUGGAAAGAGUGAUAAGGAGAUAUACAAAAAACUAGAAGAAGACUUUGGAGAAACAGUUCUAUAUGCCCCUAAAUUUGAUCUUCAAACUGCUGCCAUAUGGUUAUCACCGGUGAUUGUGGGCGGCGUAGCAGCUGGUGUGUGGGCUUACCAAAAGCACAGGCAAAGGACCAACGUUCACAUCAUGGCUCUGAACCUCGUCCGAGGGGUUCCCCUGACUCCAAGGGAGAAGGAGACGAUGAUCGACAUCCUCACGCCGCCCCUGCCGGCAAGGAGGUGGUGGUGGCCUAUCAAAUGAUGUUCUUUCAUGUCCUUAGACGCGACAUUGAGUGGGUACCAAUUUCCUGAGGUACAAAUGUUCAGGAUGGCUGGAAUUUUAGCACGUGAUUUCGUUGCACAUCUCGCGCCCUGCUUGGAGCUUGGGCUACAGAUUUUUUUUCUGGGUUUUAUAACCGGAUGCUUGCGAUACCUUGGUGGUUUGUGAAGCAUGAACCUAGCUAGCAGCACAUGUUGCCUUCCUCCGUAUGCUGGCUGUGAAGCUGAAAAACAGCCUCCUGUUAAGUGUAGUUUCUUCCCUAAACAUGUGGUGUCACUGCUGACCCUCUGUGCUAGCAGUCUAGCACACAAGUAGAGCAUUUUGUUCUCAGAAUAAGCUGCAAAUUUUAAUUGAAUUUUCGUAGGCUCUUUGAUCGAUGUCAUGUUUGUUUCAUCUAACCUGCGACCUUGAUCCCCCAGCUUGGCGUACUAGAUGGUACUGGCAUGCAAUUCUCC
Molecule: ribosomal RNA, 1250 nt
Filed under: Triticum aestivum (bread wheat)
Lineage: Eukaryota; Viridiplantae; Streptophyta; Magnoliopsida; Poales; Poaceae
Description: partial small subunit ribosomal RNA
Source: RNAcentral